CAAUAGCGUAUAUUAAAGUUGUUGCAGUUAAAAAGCUCGUAGUUGGAUUUCUGGUGGGAGCGAUCGGUCUGGCGCUUAGCGCGAGUACUUGCAUCGUCUCCGGCCAUCCUUGGGGAGAGUCUGUCUGGCAUUAGGUUGUCGGGCAGAGGAUCCUCAUCGUUUACUGUGAAAAAAUUAGAGUGUUCAAAGCAGGCUUAUGCCGUUGAAUAUAUUAGCAUGGAAUAAUAAGAUAGGACUUUGGUACUAUUUUGUUGGUUUGCGUACCAAAGUAAUGAUUAAUAGGGACAGUUGGGGGUAUUCGUAUUCCGUUGUCAGAGGUGAAAUUCUUGGAUUUACGGAAGACGAACUACUGCGAAAGCAUUUACCAAGGAUGUUUNCAUUA
This 382-nucleotide ribosomal RNA is filed under the name uncultured eukaryote. Its description in RNAcentral is "partial 18S ribosomal RNA". It matches the Rfam family "Eukaryotic small subunit ribosomal RNA", at positions 592 to 975 of the family's 1831-position model. The record is from RNAcentral.